RNAcentral lists this ribosomal RNA (550 nucleotides) under Neonectria ditissima. Its description in RNAcentral is "eukaryotic LSU rRNA". The stretch from base 181 to 334 matches the Rfam family "5.8S ribosomal RNA". Lineage: Eukaryota; Fungi; Ascomycota; Sordariomycetes; Hypocreales; Nectriaceae. The record is from RNAcentral.
GUCGUAACAAGGUCUCCGUUGGUGAACCAGCGGAGGGAUCAUUACCGAGUUUACAACUCCCAAACCCCUGUGAACAUACCCAUCGUUGCCUCGGCGGUGCCCGCUCCGGCGGCCCGCCAGAGGACCCCCAAACUCUUGUUUUAUACAGCAUCUUCUGAGUAACACGAUUAAAUAAAUCAAAACUUUCAACAACGGAUCUCUUGGUUCUGGCAUCGAUGAAGAACGCAGCGAAAUGCGAUAAGUAAUGUGAAUUGCAGAAUUCAGUGAAUCAUCGAAUCUUUGAACGCACAUUGCGCCCGCCAGUAUUCUGGCGGGCAUGCCUGUUCGAGCGUCAUUUCAACCCUCAAGCCCCCGGGCUUGGUGUUGGGGAUCGGCGUGCCCUUCGCGGCACGCCGUCCCCUAAAUCUAGUGGCGGUCUCGCUGCAGCUUCCUCUGCGUAGUAGCACACCUCGCACCGGAGAGCAGCGCGGCCACGCCGUUAAACCCCCCACUUCUGAAAGGUUGACCUCGGAUCAGGUAGGAAUACCCGCUGAACUUAAGCAUAUCAAUA